RNAcentral lists this ribosomal RNA (440 nucleotides) under uncultured bacterium. RNAcentral describes it as "partial 16S ribosomal RNA". It matches the Rfam family "Bacterial small subunit ribosomal RNA", at positions 338 to 795 of the family's 1533-position model. The record is from RNAcentral.
CCUACGGGUGGCAGCAGUGGGGAAUAUUGCACAAUGGGGGAAACCCUGAUGCAGCGACGCCGCGUGAGUGAAGAAGUAUUUCGGUAUGUAAAGCUCUAUCAGCAGGGAAGAAAAUGACGGUACCUGAUUACUAAGCCCCUGCUAACUACGUGCCAGCAGCCGCGGGCAUACGUAGGGGGCAAGCGUUAUCCGGAUAUACUGGGUGUAAAGGGAGCGGAGACCGCGGCACAAGUCUGGAGUGAAAGGCCGGGGCUUAACCCCGGAAAUGCUUUGGAAACUGUGCAGCUAGAGUGCAGGAGAGGGAAGUGGAAUUCCUAGUGUAGCGGUGAAAUGCGUAGAUAUUGGGAGGAACACCAGGGGCGAAGGCGGCUUACUGGACUGUAACUGACGUUGAGGCUCGAAAGCGUGGGGAGCAAACAGGAUUAGAUACCCGGGUAGUC